AACGAACGCUGGCGGCAGGCUUAACACAUGCAAGUCGAGCGCCCCGCAAGGGGAGCGGCAGACGGGUGGGUAACGCGUGGGAACGUACCUUUUGGUUCGGAACAACUCCGGGAAACUGGAGCUAAUACCGGAUAAGCCCUAACGGGGAAAGAUUUAUCGCCGAAAGAUCGGCCCGCGUCUGAUUAGCUAGUUGGUGAGGUAACGGCUCACCAAGGCGACGAUCAGUAGCUGGUCUGAGAGGAUGAUCAGCCACACUGGGACUGAGACACGGCCCAGACUCCUCCGGGGGCCGCCGGGGGGAAAUAUUGAAGAAGGGGCGCAAGCUGAACCCCCCUUUGCCGCGUGAGAAAUGAGGCCCUUAGGGUUUAAAACCUCUUUUGCCCGGAAAGAAAAGGCCUGUCCGGAAAAAAAAACCCCCGACUAGCUUCGCG
RNAcentral lists this ribosomal RNA (431 nucleotides) under uncultured bacterium. RNAcentral describes it as "partial 16S ribosomal RNA". It matches the Rfam family "Bacterial small subunit ribosomal RNA", at positions 29 to 507 of the family's 1533-position model. The record is from RNAcentral.